This 75-nucleotide non-coding RNA is filed under the name Acholeplasma brassicae. Lineage: Bacteria; Bacillati; Mycoplasmatota; Mollicutes; Acholeplasmatales; Acholeplasmataceae. RNAcentral also lists the same sequence under 1 other name. The record is from RNAcentral.
AUGUCAAAUACAAGGUGAAGUUUGGUGAAAAUCCAACACUGUCGCGCAACGGUAAAGUCCGAUCCCUUGUAACGC